This 777-nucleotide ribosomal RNA is filed under the name uncultured Neocallimastigales. RNAcentral's name for it is "partial large subunit ribosomal RNA". It matches the Rfam family "Eukaryotic large subunit ribosomal RNA", at positions 24 to 639 of the family's 3401-position model. The record is from RNAcentral. Lineage: Eukaryota; Fungi; Neocallimastigomycota; Neocallimastigomycetes; Neocallimastigales.
UAUGUGAUCGUCUCUCGCAUAUCAAUAAGCGGAGGAAAAGAAACUAACAAGGAUUCCCCUAGUAACGGCGAGUGAAGCGGGAAGAGCUCAAAUUUGAAAUCUUAAAGGGUUUCCCUUUACGAAUUGUAGUUUAAAGGAAGUGUUUUCUGUUGAGGUUUUGGCUAAAAGUUCUUUGGAAUAGGACAUCAUAGAGGGUGAGAAUCCCGUAUUUGACCUUUACUUUCAACUUUGUGAUACACUUUCAAAGAGGUCGGAUUGUUUGGGAAUGCAGUCCAAAAUGGGUGGUAAAUUUCAUCUAAAGCUAAAUAUUGGCGAGAGACCGAUAGCGAACAAGUACCGUGAGGGAAAGAUGAAAAGAACUUUGAAAAGAGAGUUAAACAGUACGUGAAAUUGUCAAAAGGGAAGCGUUUGACACCAGUGUUGUUUUUCUGAAAAUCAAUUAAAGAACUGUUUAUGCUAAGCUGUUUAGACUUUAUCAGCUAUCUGUUUAGUUUUGAGCUUUUCUUUAAUGCACUUUUCAGUUAACAAGUCAACAUCAAUUUCUUUUGCUGUAAAAAAGCUUGAGGAAGGUGGCUUGAGAUUCGUCUUAAGUGUUUAUAGCCUCUUGCCUAUGCAGUCGGAGAGAUUGAGGUCUGCAGCGUAGAUCCUUCGGGGCUAAAUGCAUUUGUGCUAAGUUAUAGCAUUUUAUAGACAACUUGUUGACUAUGAUUUGUCUUGUAGCUUACUCGCUUAUGUUAUUUUACCUACGCUUAGGAUGUUGACGCGCGUGUGUGCGUG